RNAcentral lists this ribosomal RNA (274 nucleotides) under uncultured bacterium. Its description in RNAcentral is "partial 16S ribosomal RNA". It matches the Rfam family "Bacterial small subunit ribosomal RNA", at positions 523 to 796 of the family's 1533-position model. The record is from RNAcentral.
AUACGGAGGGGGUUAGCGUUGUUCGGAAUUACUGGGCGUAAAGCGCACGUAGGCGGAUUGGAAAGUUGGGGGUGAAAUCCCAGGGCUCAACCCUGGAACUGCCUCCAAAACUAACAGUCUAGAGUUUGAGAGAGGUGAGUGGAAUUCCAAGUGUAGAGGUGAAAUUCGUAGAUAUUUGGAGGAACACCAGUGGCGAAGGCGGCUCACUGGCUCGAUACUGACGCUGAGGUGCGAAAGCGUGGGGAGCAAACAGGAUUAGAUACCCUAGUAGUCC